UUUUUUUUUUUUCAAUCUCUAAAGCAGAGACACCUACUAGCCUGAGACAAUAUACUGACAAAAAUUUAGUAAGCAGCUUUUAACCAUUCUUUAUAAGGAUGGAAGAAUCACUAUGUCCUGCUUCUUUUGAUUAAGGAAAUAGGAAUGAGUAGAUUUGUUUUGUGGUUUCUUUUCAGAAGAAAGAAGAAACAUAUCUGUGACAGAUUUGUAUACGAGGUAGGGAAGUCUUGUUCCAAGAGAAUCUGGCAGUCUCACAAACUGCAAGUUUGGGUCUUUAUUAUCCUUUAGACACAUUUGAAUUCUGUCCAGGUCUUCCCCACCCUGGAAACUUCCACUUAGCCUGAGUUUGUCCCCUGGCCAUACACAGAAACUCCUUUAAAAUGAAACUGUCUUUCUGUCUCUUUUCUCAAUUCAGAAGGCAUGGGAGAAGAAGAGGCUUCUUUUAAUAUACUGAAAAUAACACUGACUUAAAAAUUCUGAAUCUAAAUGUAGUACCUCAUUUUUCUGUUAGUGGAAUUCCAGACAUGUAAAUAUUGCAGAUACCUAAAUUUUUUUCACCAUAAGCACCAGAUCUUUUUAAGAAUGUAACAUUUUUGAUUGAAUGAAUUCUCAAAGAUAUUGCCACUUCUCUUUAAAAACAGAGGAUACGGGGUAAUAUUCGAUGAUUCAAUCUUUCAAAUAAGCACUGUUGAUGGUACUGUGUUGUAAUGAUAAUAGCUAGAGAUUCUGUGGUUCCUUGCUAUGUUCUAAGUGCUGUACAGCAUUAAGUUAUUUACUUCUGCAUUUACUUACAUAAAACUCUGUGACACAGGUACAGUGAUUUUCUCCAUUCACAGAGAGGUUGAGAAACUUGAUGAGCCCGUAAACUAGCUAACAGUAGAGCUGGGAUUCAGACCCAUGCAGCAGAGUCCAGAAUCUGUGCCUUUAUCCACCACAUAAUGCUUUCUCUAUAUUUCUAAAGGUGGAUUCCCCCCCACCCCGCCCCACCAAGGAUUGUGAAAUUUGUUUGCCCUGCUGCUGUGCAUUUUGAGUUAUUACAUCUGCAUGUUAAGGUAUUCUUAAGCUUCCUUGCUGUCAUCUACUGUUUUUCUCCAUUUUUACUCUUACUGCCUUUCAAUUUGCUGCUGUUCAUCAGAUUUGAGCUUGAGAAAUCAGAAUAAAAAAGCUUCUUGGAAUAGCUCAUUGUCACUAAGAACCUAAUAUGUUCUUUUAUGUGAAAAGUGUAUGAGCCUUAGUACAUGAAUCUGUGGAUUUUUAAAAAAAUUCUCUGCAAUAGCGGUUCUGGAUAAGGAAGAAAAUCCAAUAUUUUGUCAGAGCCUAGUAAUAAGAACAACAGCAAUAGUUAUUUGUUGAGUAUCUACAGUCAUACUGCAUGAAAUACUUAACCUCUGUUACCUCUUUUCAAGCCUUUGCCAGCUGCUAAAGUGGGGACUAUAUUCCUUAUAUUCAUAGAGUCAGGAAGUAGGGCUCUAAGAGGUUGAGACUUGCCCAGAUUUACUCAGCUAAUAAGCAAAGAUUCAGGUCCAGGACUUCCCAGUUCCAAAGCCUUGCUUUUCUUAUUCUAUUCUUUUUGCCCUAAGCAUGACUGUAUUUUCUUUAGCAAACCUUAUUUCUAUUUAGGAAAUUUUGCUAUUGUCAGCUUAAUCACUAUGUGUGUUUAAAAGUAUGUUUUGAAGUGUAAACUUAAGGUACAAAGUUGUCAGAGGCUUUAUAUUAGGAACAGUAUAAGACAAUUUUUGAAGGGUUGUUUUAAACCUUAUUCAGUGAUAUUUGUAAUUCUAAUAGCAAUGAGUUGAUGGAUUAGAGUUAGACAUAUCUUAAGUCUAGAAGUCCAGCUAGCCAUUGUUGUGAUGGGGCAUAAAACAUGGAUUAGGACAAGGAAAUAGGAAUGAUGAACAAGAGACCAAGCUAAGGGACAUUUUGGAUAUGAAAGGAACAAAAGUUAUGACCAUAAUAGGGGGUGGUGAUGAAGGAAGAGUCAAGGAUAUCUUUGAAGUUUCCAGUUUAUUUGAAUUAAUGAAAGAUUUUAUGCCCUGAGAUGUGGAAUAUAAAAGCUAUAACAGCUUUUGAGAAGAAAGCUGAGUUUUAUUUUAAACAUUUUGAGUGUUAUGAACUUGUGGGACAUCUAGGAGAAAGUAAAGUGCUUGGCAGACAUCUGAAAAUAAGGAACCAAUUUUCUCAUUAUCUUUAUAGUUAAUAGAGAUUCUACAGGUUCUUGACGAGCAACUUCAUGGUGUUUUUGAUGGAAGUAGAUUGUCAUAUGCAUCAAACCCUCUAGAAUCCUCUCUCCCCUUUGCCUUUCUUGAAAUCACUCAGAUUUUCCUCUAGAGAACUUCUUUUUUCUGUUUUCAGCUGAACUCUUUCAAUAGGACUAAUACACCUGCUGCUCAGUAGGUGAGCCUUGAAGACUUAAUCUCAUCACCACUUCCAUUCUUGACUUCUCAGGAUUGAUUUUUAUCAGUUAGGAUGUUUUGGGUUGCAUGUAAUAGAAUAUCUAACUAAAAGUGUCAUAAGAAACAGGAGGUUAUAUAUUCUCCCCACAAAAAGAUUUCUAGAAGAAGGUGGCUCCAAGGUUUUUCCAUGGUUCAACAAAGUUAGUUUCUGGACCAACCUCUCUAAGAUUCCCAUGGUUGCAAGGUGACUGCCACAGCUCCAGCAAUUACUUCCUUAUAUAAUAACAUCCAAAGAGGAGUAGAGAGAUUAGAGAUGUUUACCUACAUCUGUCUAUUAUUAGAGAGGAAAAUCUUUUCCGGAGGCCUCUGGUAGACUUCUCUAAAGUUUCCAUUGACUGGAAUUAACCAUGCCUUACUGGAAAAAGUAGAAGUUGACUUAGUCAAAUUUUGGUUCAACCUGUAAGACUCAGGAAGUAUCCCACUUCCCCAAUCAUGUUGCUGCUCUAUUCUUAAAUAAAAUCAAUGUUCUGUUAUCAAGGAGGAAGGUGAUAAUAGCUAUUGGAUAGGCCACAUAUGGAGUCUGUUGCACUGGGCAUAAUACUCAAUGGGAUAUCAGUAGACAUUUGUAGGGGCAUCCUCCUUGCACACAACCACCUUACUCUUCCAAGAGACCUAAAAGCAUUCUCUUUCUCUGGACUGUGUGAUAGAUGGCUCUGAUUUCUAAAACUGCUGCAGCCAGUACUGCUGCUGAAGGAAGUGCACCCGAAGACAAAGACAACACACAGUGUGGGGCAUGGUUAUAAGAACCACGGUGAAAAAAGAGAAGGAGCUUUGAUAUACAGUUAACUUCUGGAUCAAACUGUACUUAAAGCUAGUUAUAUCUCAGAAUAUCCAGUUAUAAAAGAAAAGCCAUUCUCUCUUUUUGCAAAGUCAUUUUAGGCUGGAUUUUCUGUUACACACAAUAAGACGAAUUUUUACAAUAAGAGAGUUGGGAAUUUGGGCAACUAGACUGCCCACUGUUUUUCAUCUUAAUGAGGAAUCUAAGCCUCAUUUUCAGUUAAAUAGUGUUGAGUAUGAUUGGUGAAUUUCUAAUAUGCUUUUUAUCUUUGUGGCAAGGAAAUCUUGUUUACUCCAGACAACUGGCAUGAUACUUCUCUAUUUGAAGAAGGCAGUGAGGACAAGCUGGCAGUAUUGCCUUAGAGACAGAUAACUUUCAAGUUCUGUAAGAAAUAUAAACAGAGCUCCUUCAAAAUCUUCUAUAUUUAGUAAAUAGAACAAUACUAUUUUUCAUUUUCUUCCCUGCCCAAAUAAUUCCUUCUAGAUAGUACUCAAAAUAAGGUGCCCUAUCAGAGAUUAAAUGAGGCAUUCAUAGCACAUACUUUUAAAUCCAUGAUCUCCUCUUCUUAGGACUGAAAAAUAAUGCCCUCAUUGUGAACACAAAUGUCAAUAUGUCUCAUAACCUCUAAUUUCAGCUCCAAGCAUCUUUGUCCUCUUCAAAUGACUGGCAACUUGAUAUUUUAUUUUCAGCUUUCUUUGACGAGCGAUUUGGUUUAAAAUAAGCAAAUAGGUAAGAAAAAACUGCCUAAAGCCUGCUUCCUCAAAAUAAGCAAUGCCCCUGUCCUCAGGGGCUGUCAGAUUUAUGUCCUUAGAUGAACAAUAAUUACAUUAAUAACUUUAAGAGCUAAUUAGCAUUUUAUAGUAAACACAUUGUUCAUCACACUAAGGGGAGAGACGGCUGUAUCCUUUCUGCAGAAUAAUUGCUUUUCAAAACCAGAACCCAUUUAUCUUACUUCAGCAAUACAUGCCACCAACUGACCAAGAAAUACUGUGCUGAUUCUUCCUGAGCCCCAGUCUUGUUAAUUCUUAAAAAAAAAUGCAGAAAUUCAAACAGGAAAAAAUGAAUUAACUUUAGUUUCUACUUGUGUGAACCCAAAAAAAGCAACCAAUAUCUUGUCAUCACUUUUUCACAUACUUUGCUUUUUCCAAGGUUUUUCCUGCUUAAUUUUCUAUGGUAUUUCUAACGUACAUGAAGUUUGAGACCACGCUUCCUCCCUCAAUCUCAAUGCAGUGCAGGCAAUUGCCAUGGUUACUUCUUUAUUGCAUCAAGUCCUGGAAAUACACUUUGAAUUCGCUUUAGAUUUUGCAAGCUCAAAGCUAACUGGGGAUAAAUCCAAGAAGACUUUUCAUCAGGAUAUUGACCCUUCUCUCCAGAAGCCCCCUUAAGGGGGUAUUCUCUGCCUGCAGCCACUUUCAGUACUUCCCUUAACCCAGAGUUGCAGCAACUCCAAAUCGACAGUCUUGUCAGAAUGAAUGAUCUAAAAUAAACAUCCACUUGUCUGUCUGCAUUACUAAUCUUGACAAGGAUCUUUUGCUUGUAUCAACUGUGAGCCAAUAGUCCUUAGAAGUACUUUGCUCGUUGUCUUGGUCCAGCAGCAGAUGGAGAGCAGAUAUAAGGCCUGGAAUCUGAUUUCAACUGGCUCAUGACAUUACAAUGAAAAUGAAAUUCAAAUGAAAUCAGCAAAAGAAACCUACCUGCUUUCUCCAUCUUGGCAGCCUUCUUAAUGUAGCAAUUAUCUCAUUUAAGCAAAACCCUUGGUCAGUCACAUCAGAACAUCCCCAGCAAUAACCAUUUUGUGUACAAAGACUAGAGACACAAUAAUAAAUCUCAAGGCCACCAUUUUGCAGGCUAGGUUUCCCUUCCAAUGUUUUCUUAGCUACUUAGUGAAUACUAAAACUUUGAUAUCUUUGGGAUUAAUAAUGGGAACUAUCGGAGUUCCCGGUCAUGGCUCAGUGGUUAACGAAUCCGACUAGGAACCAUGAGGUUGUGGGUUCAAUCCCUGGCCUUGCUCAGUGGGUUAAGGAUCUGGCGUUGCCAUGAGCUGUGUCCUCCUUUUCUGCCACCCUCAAGGCAUAUGGAAGUUCCCAGGCCAGGGAGUGAAUCCAAGCCAGAGCUGUGACCUACUCUACAGCUGCAGCAACGCUCGGUCCUUAUCCUGCUGCACUGGACAGGGGAUUGAGCUGGUGCCUCCACAGAGACAAGCAGGAUCUUUAACCCAUUGCUCCAUAGUGGGAACUCAGCAGAUACUUAAAUCAAUAGAUAACUCCUUCCAAAUUCCUCUGGGUCUGAUUUGAGGCCAGACUGCUUCCCCAUUAAAGGAGGCUACAGAGAUAGAGAAAGUAUUUCUUGGUUUAUGUCCAAUUUAUAUGGUACUUGGUUUAUUUAUAUUUAUAAAUAUUUGAUAGUAGAUUACACAGUAUUUAUCCUACUCUAUGGGUUCAGUCAUUCUCAACUAAUCUAAUGUUUUUGCUGUCUUUAUAAAGGGUCUAUAUUAAAAGAACCUCUUUAAAUAUUGCUAAAGUCACCUAAAUUGGGUGGGCAAAAAUGAUAAAUAAUUAAGAUGUACCCAGAGCAGAUAGACCUUUACAACACUUUCCAUUUUGCUUGCUUUGUGUAAAUACGUCCCCAGUGAUCUACAUCUCCAAAACUGUAAGAACACAAUUAAAUC
RNAcentral lists this long non-coding RNA (5899 nucleotides) under Sus scrofa (pig). RNAcentral's name for it is "lncRNA (ENSSSCG00005034251.1)". Lineage: Eukaryota; Metazoa; Chordata; Mammalia; Artiodactyla; Suidae. The record is from RNAcentral.